RNAcentral lists this ribosomal RNA (253 nucleotides) under uncultured bacterium. RNAcentral describes it as "partial 16S ribosomal RNA". It matches the Rfam family "Bacterial small subunit ribosomal RNA", at positions 524 to 776 of the family's 1533-position model. The record is from RNAcentral.
UACAGAGGGUGCAAGCGUUGUUCGGAAUCAUUGGGCGUAAAGCGCACGUAGGCGGUCUGUUAUGUCGGAUGUGAGAGCCCUCGGCUCAACUGAGGAAGUGCAUCCGAAACUGGCAGGCUAGAGUACUAAAGAGGGUCGCGGAAUUCCCGGUGUAGAGGUGAAAUUCGUAGAUAUCGGGAGGAACACCGGUGGCGAAGGCGGCGACCUGGGUAGAUACUGACGCUGAGGUGCGAAAGCGUGGGGAGCAAACAGG